Molecule: transfer RNA, 77 nt
Filed under: Lentisphaeria bacterium
Lineage: Bacteria; Pseudomonadati; Lentisphaerota; Lentisphaeria
Description: tRNA-His
Rfam family: tRNA
About the family: Transfer RNA (tRNA) molecules are approximately 80 nucleotides in length. Their secondary structure includes four short double-helical elements and three loops (D, anti-codon, and T loops).
Source: RNAcentral
GUGGCUGUAGCUCAGUCGGUUAGAGCGCCUGGUUGUGGCCCAGGAGGUCGGGGGUUCGAAUCCCCUCAGCCACCCCA